UUGCUCUGGUUUCUUUUCAGAACAAACAAAUCUUUCGCCUUUCACUAAAGGUUUCCGUGAAGAGGAAAAAAACAGUGUUGUCUCAAUCGUGUAUGCCCCAGCUUAAUGGGGUU
Molecule: small nuclear RNA, 113 nt
Organism: Pseudophryne corroboree (corroboree frog)
Lineage: Eukaryota; Metazoa; Chordata; Amphibia; Anura; Myobatrachidae
Product: U5 spliceosomal RNA
Exons: 1
Source: RefSeq, a predicted model, not a curated record